This 442-nucleotide ribosomal RNA is filed under the name uncultured bacterium. RNAcentral's name for it is "partial 16S ribosomal RNA". It matches the Rfam family "Bacterial small subunit ribosomal RNA", at positions 338 to 795 of the family's 1533-position model. The record is from RNAcentral.
CCUACGGGUGGCAGCAGUAGGGAAUCUUUCACAAUGGGCGAAAGCCUGAUGGGGCAACGCCGCGUGCAGGAUGAAGGCCUUCGGGUUGUAAACUGCUUUUAUAAGCGAGAAAUAUGAUGGUAACUUAUGAAUAAGGAUCGGCUAACUACGUGCCAGCAGCCGCGGUCAUACGUAGGAUCCGAGCAUUAUCCGGAGUGACUGGGUGUAAAGAGUUGCGUAGGUGGCAUAAUAAGUAGCUAGUGAAAUCUGGUGGCUCAACCAUUCAGACUAUUAGCGAAACUGUUAAGCUCGAGACCGUUAGGGGUAACUGGAAUUUCUAGUGUAGGAGUGAAAUCCGUAGAUAUUAGAAGGAACACCAAUAGCGUAGGCAGGUUGCUGGGACGGUUCUGACACUAAGGCACGAAAGCGUAGGGAGCAAACGGGAUUAGAUACCCCAGUAGUC